GAAUGAUAUCAGUCAGGUAGAUGGACUGGAUGGUUUGCGGAGACUGAAUGAGUUGAAUUGAAAUCGAAUUAAAUCUUUGAGUGAGAACUCAUUCUGUGGACAGAGAGUUCUGCUGUAUUUGCACCUGGCAGAGAAUCGCAAUCGUGAACUGAACCUACUUCAGCCUUUCACUAAACUCCAGAGACAUUAACAAAAUACAGGUGGCACGGCGAUUACUGCACAGACAAGCAGUGGUACUGCAUUUGUCUACACUGCAGGUUCUGGAUGGCAUGACAGUCACCCUUGAAGAAAGAACUAGAGCAGAGCUUUUAAAUAAUGAAGCACAGGUAGCUCAUGCUUACUAUCCAGAUCAAAUGAAUGGAUCAAAUAGAACUUAUACUGCAGAUACAAUUACCUUGUGCAUGUGUAUAGGGUUCUGCAGUAGUUUAGGAGGUGAAAUGACUUUACCCAGUUUGGUACCAUUGGUGACCCGACCAGCUCCUUUAAGAGAUUUUGAGAUAAGAAGCAAAAGGCAGUUGUCUCUCUGUUGCGUGGGGUUCACAGUGACAUCAACUUCAGGCAGAUCCAGCCACUACAUGACAGCCCUGCAGCAGAUCGGAUAUAGAGUUCUCUCCACUUUCCCUGACGCCGAUCCUGAGACCAGGUAGCAGUGUCACAGUGUACCCAGACCUUCUCCUCCUCUCUAAAGCAGAGUCAUAGACGCACUGUGUGAGUCGUGUAUUUUAGCUUUGGUCUUGUGUGUUGUUGUUCAUCUUUGGAUCUUAAAUAGGACAUCAAUGAACAGUUUGUUUAUUUAUUUGGAAUUGUGUCAGUGUCAAAGAUAUUACAUGUAUAUUUUCUAUUAAAUUCUAUUCAACUAUUCAAGAGUGGUGUCCUUUAUCUUAAGUCUUUGUUCAUGUAUCAUUUUCACUCUCUGUGAGGUUUGGUUUUAUUUUUAAUUGUAUUUGAUAGUUAUGAAGUCACUUCAAAUAUAAAAGUUCAUAAAAAACAUAUGUCAAAAACAUUUUUCUUGAAAACUGUAGUUGCU
Molecule: long non-coding RNA, 1027 nt
Organism: Cyprinus carpio (common carp)
Lineage: Eukaryota; Metazoa; Chordata; Actinopteri; Cypriniformes; Cyprinidae
Source: Ensembl